Molecule: ribosomal RNA, 253 nt
Filed under: uncultured bacterium
Lineage: Bacteria
Description: partial 16S ribosomal RNA
Rfam family: Bacterial small subunit ribosomal RNA
Source: RNAcentral
UACAGAGGGUGCGAGCGUUAAUCGGAAUUACUGGGCGUAAAGGGCGCGUAGGCGGUGAGAUGAGUGUGGUGUGAAAGCCCCGGGCUUAACCUGGGAACUGCGCUUCUAACUGGCAGGCUUGAGUGUGGCAGAGGGGGGUGGAAUUCCACGUGUAGCAGUGAAAUGCGUAGAGAUGUGGAGGAACACCGAUGGCGAAGGCAGCCCCCUGGGCUAACACUGACGCUCAUGCACGAAAGCGUGGGGAGCAAACAGG